UUGGAGGGCAAGUCUGGUGCCAGCAGCCGCGGUAAUUCCAGCUCCAAUAGCGUAUAUUAAAGUUGUUGCAGUUAAAAAGCUCGUAGUUGAAUUUCGGGGUUCUACCGUUGGUCGGGCAAUAGUCUGUACUGGCGUGUGGAAUUUCUACCUUCUGGGGAACCAUCAUGUUAUUAAUUUAGCGUGGUGGGAAACCAGGACCUUUACCUUGAAAAAAUUAGAGUGUUCAAAGCAGGCUUACGUCUGAAUACAUUAACAUGGAAUAAUAAAAUAGGACGGUGGUCCUGUUUUGUUGGUUUCUGAAUCACCGUAAUGAUUAAUAGGGAUAGUUGGGGGCAUUAGUAUUCAAUUGUCAGAGGUGAAAUUCUUGGAUUUAUUGAAGACUAACUUCUGCGAAAGCAUUUGCCAAGGAUGUUUUCAUUAAUCAAGAACGAAAGUUAGGGGAUCGAAGACGAUCAGAUACCGUCGUAGUCUUAACCAUAAACUAUGCCGACUAGGGAUCGGACGAUGUCAAUUUUUCUUGACUCGUUCGGCGCCUUACGGGAAAC
RNAcentral lists this ribosomal RNA (545 nucleotides) under uncultured Glomeromycotina. RNAcentral's name for it is "SSU rRNA". It matches the Rfam family "Eukaryotic small subunit ribosomal RNA", at positions 548 to 1098 of the family's 1831-position model. The record is from RNAcentral. Lineage: Eukaryota; Fungi; Glomeromycota.